UUUCAUGCUGUCAUGUAAAUACCUACCCAUGUGAAACAAAUAGUGGAUUUGUGCUUCCCUAAAGAAGGUCUGGAGGAAGCUGGCAUGGUUCAUGGAGAGACUGCUUUAAAACCAAGAAGACCUGGUUUCAAAUCCUUCCUCUGACAUUCUGACUAUUUGACCUAAGGAAAGUCACUUACCUUCUCAGUAUUCUGGGACACUGUCUCUGAAUAUGAAAAAAGAACUGAUCAUCAGAGGGAAGAAGUGAUUUGCCUCUGGUCACAUAUAGGCAGCAUAUGAGAGGGACAAGAUUGAAGCCCAGGUUUAGGGCAACAGCCUGGGGCAAUGAAAAGGCCCUUAUACUGGGAGUUAGAAGAUCCAGGUUCAAGCUGCAGCUCUGCCACCAAUUUGCUAUGUUCCCUGAAGCAAGUCAGUUAGAUUCUCUGGGACUCAGUUUUACUUGGAUGUUUGUGGGGCAUCUGAGCUCCUAUGUAUCCUAUCAUCCUAUCAGGCUACCAUUGUUCCACAACUGCCCUAGAAUUGCGAUUCUUCUGAGAUUGUGGAUCCUUUUUCCCAGCAGGAUGGAACUGCAUUCUCCAAAGGAAUCUAAUUGCACAUGCCUUAUGGAAUUGAAAUUUUCACCUGAGUAAGGAAUUCAGCAAUAGACCCACUGACAACACCAAACACUUUGAAAGCAAAAAAGAGCCAAAGGUAUAUUUUUGGUAUGUGCUAUAAGUAAGUGACAACUGCAGGGGGAAAAGAAGUUGAUUCUAAGCCAGCUAAUACACAGGAAUAUA
Molecule: non-coding RNA, 776 nt
Organism: Phascolarctos cinereus (koala)
Lineage: Eukaryota; Metazoa; Chordata; Mammalia; Diprotodontia; Phascolarctidae
Source: RefSeq, a predicted model, not a curated record